This 508-nucleotide ribosomal RNA is filed under the name uncultured bacterium. Its description in RNAcentral is "partial 16S ribosomal RNA". It matches the Rfam family "Bacterial small subunit ribosomal RNA", at positions 28 to 507 of the family's 1533-position model. The record is from RNAcentral.
GACGAACGCUGGCGGCGUGCCUAAUACAUGCAAGUCGAACGCUUCUUUCCUCCCGAGUGCUUGCACUCAAUUGGAAAGAGGAGUGGCGGACGGGUGAGUAACACGUGGGUAACCUACCCAUCAGAGGGGGAUAACACUUGGAAACAGGUGCUAAUACCGCAUAACAGUUUAUGCCGCAUGGCAUAAGAGUGAAGGGCGCUUUCGGGUGUCGCUGAUGGAUGGACCCGCGGUGCAUUAGCUAGUUGGUGAGGUAACGGCUCACCAAGGCCACGAUGCAUAGCCGACCUGAGAGGGUGAUCGGCCACACUGGGACUGAGACACGGCCCAGACUCCUACGGGAGGCAGCAGUAGGGAAUCUUCGGCAAUGGACGAAAGUCUGACCGAGCAACGCCGCGUGAGUGAAGAAGGUUCUCGGAUCGUAAAACUCUGUUAUUAGAGAAGAACAAGGACGUUAGUAACUGAACGUCCCCUGACGGUAUCUAACCAGAAAGCCACGGCUAACUACGUG